This 61-nucleotide transfer RNA is filed under the name Rhipiphorothrips cruentatus. RNAcentral's name for it is "tRNA-Gln". It matches the Rfam family "tRNA". Rfam says of the family: Transfer RNA (tRNA) molecules are approximately 80 nucleotides in length. Their secondary structure includes four short double-helical elements and three loops (D, anti-codon, and T loops). Lineage: Eukaryota; Metazoa; Arthropoda; Insecta; Thysanoptera; Thripidae. The record is from RNAcentral.
AUUUUAGUAAAUUAAUACAUGAGACUUUGACACUCAAGAGAGUAGUUAAAAUCUACUAAAU